UAAGUUGGUAGUGAAAUUCUGGGGGCUCAACCCCUUACCAUUAUCAAAACUGCAAAGCUAGAGGAUGAGAGAGGUUAUUGGAAUUUCUAGUGUAGGAGUGAAAUCCGUAGAUAUUAGAAGGAACACCGAUGGCGUAGGCAGAUAACUGGCUCAUUCCUGACACUAAGGCACGAAAGCGUGGGUAGCAAACGGGAUUGGAUACCCCGGUAGUCCACGCCGUAAACGAUGCAUGCUA
Molecule: ribosomal RNA, 235 nt
Filed under: uncultured Candidatus Saccharibacteria bacterium
Lineage: Bacteria; Candidatus Saccharimonadota
Description: partial 16S ribosomal RNA
Rfam family: Bacterial small subunit ribosomal RNA
Source: RNAcentral